This 239-nucleotide long non-coding RNA is filed under the name Homo sapiens (human). RNAcentral's name for it is "HSALNT0000227". Lineage: Eukaryota; Metazoa; Chordata; Mammalia; Primates; Hominidae. The record is from RNAcentral.
GUGGGGCUGCUGUUGCGGGCCGUGGAGCCGCGGCCCCGCUGGAGGGCAGGGUCCGGCUGGGCGUCGGGGUCCUGGCAGAGACCGAGGCGAGGGCAGGAGCAGGUGCACUGGCCGCUGCACAGGCGCCGCCAGGCUCCCGGACACCGCGGGCGCGCCCCCUGGUGGCAGCCGGCUCCGGAGCCGCGGGAGGGCGUGCCCAGUCCCCAGCCAGGCGGCAGCGCGAAGCUCCUUCCCCGCGU